CCCUUAGAUGUCCUGGGCCGCACGCGCGCUACACUGAGUGUCUGAGAUACGAGUCUGCCUGGUCCGGCAAGGUCUAGGUAAUCGCUAAAAGACACAUCAUGCUUGGGAUAGAUUAUUGCAAAUAUUAAUCUUGAUCGAGGAAUUCCUAGUAAGCGCAAGUCAACAGCUUGCGUUGAUUACGUCCCUGCCCUUUGUACACACCGCCCGUCGCUACUACUGAUUGGAUGUUUAAGCGAGGUUCUCGAACUGCUAGCGACUUAGCUUCGGUGAGGUCGCAGUGUGGGAAGUGAACCUAGCUUUGGUGUCUAGAGGAAGUAAAAGUCGUAACA
RNAcentral lists this ribosomal RNA (329 nucleotides) under uncultured eukaryote. RNAcentral describes it as "partial 18S ribosomal RNA". It matches the Rfam family "Eukaryotic small subunit ribosomal RNA", at positions 1470 to 1796 of the family's 1831-position model. The record is from RNAcentral.